AUUAAAAAAGAAAAUCAGUGGGAUAAGGGGAUCAACAUAACAUAAUGCAGUUUAAAUCAAACAAUAUAGAGAAAGAUCUUGUCUGCUAAAACUUCCACCCUGCACCCAGUAACCAAAAGAAAUUGCUCAUCUUUCUUACCAGAUUUUGAAUCAAAAAAAUUAUUGGGAAUAUGAUCUAGAUAAGAUAACUCAUCUUUCCAUUGGACUUUUUUAUCCUGUUCCUUUUGAACAUGAGUAACAUAUAUUUUUAAUUCUAGGGAUUCAAUAUAUCAUUCAAUAAUCAAUACAUUCACCAAAAACAAAAACCAUAUUUGAAAACAAUUCUGAAAAGUCAAAGCUUUUGAACACCUUGGAAUUA
Molecule: unclassified non-coding RNA, 358 nt
Filed under: Hevea brasiliensis (rubber tree)
Lineage: Eukaryota; Viridiplantae; Streptophyta; Magnoliopsida; Malpighiales; Euphorbiaceae
Source: RNAcentral